CCGCUCGUAGCUCAGCCGGUAGAGCAGCAGCCUUUUAAGCUGACGGUCGCAGGUUCGAUCCCUGCCGAGCGGA
Molecule: transfer RNA, 73 nt
Filed under: Patescibacteria group bacterium
Lineage: Bacteria
Description: tRNA-Lys
Rfam family: tRNA
About the family: Transfer RNA (tRNA) molecules are approximately 80 nucleotides in length. Their secondary structure includes four short double-helical elements and three loops (D, anti-codon, and T loops).
Source: RNAcentral